AGAGUUUGAUCCUGGCUCAGAUUGAACGCUGGCGGCAUGCCUUACACAUGCAAGUCGAACGGCAGCACGGAGCUUGCUCUGGUGGCGAGUGGCGAACGGGUGAGUAAUAUAUCGGAACGUACCCUAGAGUGGGGGAUAACGUAGCGAAAGUUACGCUAAUACCGCAUACGAUCUAAGGAUGAAAGUGGGGGAUCGCAAGACCUCAUGCUCGUGGAGCGGCCGAUAUCUGAUUAGCUAGUUGGUAGGGUAAAAGCCUACCAAGGCAUCGAUCAGUAGCUGGUCUGAUAGGACGACCAGCCACACUGGAACUGAGACACGGUCCAGACUCCUACGGGAGGCAGCAGUGGGGAAUUUUGGACAAUGGGCGAAAGCCUGAUCCAGCAAUGCCGCGUGAGUGAAGAAGGCCUUCGGGUUGUAAAGCUCUUUUGUCAGGGAAGAAACGGUGAGAGCUAAUAUCUCUUGCUAAUGACGGUACCUGAAGAAUAAGCACCGGCUAACUACGUGCCAGCAGCCGCGGUAAUACGUAGGGUGCAAGCGUUAAUCGGAAUUACUGGGCGUAAAGCGUGCGCAGGCGGUUUUGUAAGUCUGAUGUGAAAUCCCCGGGCUCAACCUGGGAAUUGCAUUGGAGACUGCAAGGCUAGAAUCUGGCAGAGGGGGGUAGAAUUCCACGUGUAGCAGUGAAAUGCGUAGAUAUGUGGAGGUACACCGAUGGCGAAGGCAGCCCCCUGGGUCAAGAUUGACGCUCAUGCACGAAAGCGUGGGGAGCAAACAGGAUUAGAUACCCUGGUAGUCCACGCCCUAAACGAUGUCUACUAGUUGUCGGGUCUUAAUUGACUUGGUAACGCAGCUAACGCGUGAAGUAGACCGCCUGGGGAGUACGGUCGCAAGAUUAAAACUC
RNAcentral lists this ribosomal RNA (898 nucleotides) under uncultured bacterium. RNAcentral's name for it is "bacterial SSU rRNA". It matches the Rfam family "Bacterial small subunit ribosomal RNA", at positions 8 to 902 of the family's 1533-position model. The record is from RNAcentral.